Molecule: non-coding RNA, 436 nt
Organism: Rhinolophus ferrumequinum (greater horseshoe bat)
Lineage: Eukaryota; Metazoa; Chordata; Mammalia; Chiroptera; Rhinolophidae
Source: the annotation of a RefSeq genome assembly
GGCUGUGUGCACCAUGGCCUGGACUCCUGUCCUCCUCGUGCUCUUCUGUCACUGCACAGGUUCCCUCUCCCAGCCUGUGCUGACUCAGCCGCCCUCCCUCUCUGCAUCUCCGGGAGCAUCAGCCAGACUCACCUGCACCCUGAGCAGUGGCUUCAGUGUUGGCAGCUAUGCCAUAUACUGGUACCAGCAGAAGCCAGGGAGCCCUCCCCGGUAUCUCCUGAGUUUCUACUCAGACUCAGAUAAACACCAGGGCUCCGGGGUCCCCAGCCGCUUCUCUGGAUCCAAAGACCCGUCGGCCAAUGCAGGGCUUCUGCUCAUCUCUGGGCUGCAGCCUGAGGACGAGGCUGACUAUUACUGUGCUGUAUAUCACAGUGGUACUGGUCACAGUGACACACACAGAUGGGGAAGUGGGACGAAAACCUCAAUCCUCUCGUAG